CAGAGAGAACCUAGUUCUCUGCUGACGACCGGCGCACGGGUGAGUAACGCGUACACGACCUACCUUCAAGAAGGGAAUAGCCCCGGGAAACUGGGAUUAAUGCCCUAUGUGAUUAUAGAGCUACAUGGUUUUAUAAUUAAAGUUCAGGCGCUUGAAGAUGGGUGUGCGNGCUAUUAGAUAGUUGGUGAGGUAACGGCUCACCAAGUCGACGAUAGCUAGGGGGCGUGAGAGCGUGACCCCCCACACGGGUACUGAGACACGGACCCGACUCCUACGGGAGGCAGCAGUAAGGAAUAUUGGACAAUGGGGGCAACCCUGAUCCAGCCAUCCCGCGUGCAGGAUGACGGCCCUAUGGGUUGUAAACUGCUUUUAUAAGAGAAGAACUCCCUCUAUUCAUAGAGGGCUGACGGUAUCUUAAGAAUAAGCACCGGCUAACUCCGUGCCAGCAGCCGCGGUAAUACGGAGGGUGCAAGCGUUAUCCGGAAUCACUGGGUUUAAAGGGUGCGUAGGUGGCUCAAUCAGUCAGAGGUGA
This 532-nucleotide ribosomal RNA is filed under the name uncultured bacterium. RNAcentral's name for it is "bacterial SSU rRNA". It matches the Rfam family "Bacterial small subunit ribosomal RNA", at positions 69 to 597 of the family's 1533-position model. The record is from RNAcentral.